Molecule: ribosomal RNA, 627 nt
Filed under: uncultured bacterium
Lineage: Bacteria
Description: bacterial SSU rRNA
Rfam family: Bacterial small subunit ribosomal RNA
Source: RNAcentral
ACAAUGGCUUUAGUGGCGGACUGGUGAGUAACGCGUAAGGAACCUGCCUUUUAGAGGGGAAUAACAAUGAGAAAUCAUUGCUAAUACCGCAUAUGCCGAGAGAAUCACAUGGUACAAUCGGGAAAGGAGCAAUUCGCUAAAAGAUGGCCUUGCGUCUGAUUAGAUAGUUGGUGGGGUAACGGCCUACCAAGUCGACGAUCAGUAGCCGGACUGAGAGGUUGAACGGCCACAUUGGGACUGAGAUACGGCCCAGACUCCUACGGGAGGCAGCAGUCGGGAAUAUUGCGCAAUGGAGGAAACUCUGACGCAGUGACGCCGCGUAUAGGAAGAAGGUUUUCGGAUUGUAAACUAUUGUCGUUAGGGAAGAGAAAGGACAGUACCUAAGGAGGAAGCUCCGGCUAACUACGUGCCAGCAGCCGCGGUAAUACGUAGGGAGCGAGCGUUAUCCGGAAUUAUUGGGUGUAAAGGGUGCGUAGACGGGAAGAUAAGUUAGUUGUGAAAUCCCUCGGCUUAACUGAGGAACUGCAACUAAAACUGUUUUUCUUGAGUGCAGGAGAGGUAAGUGGAAUUCCUAGUGUAGCGGUGAAAUGCGUAGAUAUUAGGAGGAACACCAGUGGCGAAGGCGAC